RNAcentral lists this ribosomal RNA (253 nucleotides) under uncultured bacterium. Its description in RNAcentral is "partial 16S ribosomal RNA". It matches the Rfam family "Bacterial small subunit ribosomal RNA", at positions 524 to 776 of the family's 1533-position model. The record is from RNAcentral.
UACGUAGGUCCUGAGCGUUGUCCGGAUUUAUUGGGCGUAAAGGGAGCGUAGAUGGCAUGGCAAGUCAGAUGUGAAAGCCCGGGGCUCAACCCCGGGACUGCAUUUGAAACUGUCAGGCUGGAGUGCAGGAGAGGUAAGCGGAAUUCCUAGUGUAGCGGUGAAAUGCGUAGAUAUUAGGAGGAACACCAGUGGCGAAGGCGGCUUACUGGACUGUAACUGACGUUGAGGCUCGAAAGCGUGGGGAGCAAACAGG